CCCUUAGAUGAUUUGGGCUGCACGCGCGCUACACUGACCCUAACAAUGAGCAACUGUCUGGCCUGAGAUGGCUGGGUAGCCUCUUCAACCCAUGUCAUGAUUGGGCUAGAUUUUUGUAAGUCUUGAUCUCUAACGAGGAAUCCCUAGUAUGCGUGAAUCAUCAAUCCAUGCAGAUUAUGUCCCUGCCCUUUGUACACACCGCCCGCCGCUCCUACUGAUUGGGUGAUCCGGUGAGCUGUUCGGCCAUAGCAAUGUUUCUUGAGCAGGGCAAUGAAUGUUUCGCAAACCUUGCCACUUAGAGGAAGGAGAAGUCGUAACA
RNAcentral lists this ribosomal RNA (319 nucleotides) under uncultured eukaryote. RNAcentral's name for it is "partial 18S ribosomal RNA". It matches the Rfam family "Eukaryotic small subunit ribosomal RNA", at positions 1470 to 1796 of the family's 1831-position model. The record is from RNAcentral.